This 521-nucleotide ribosomal RNA is filed under the name Habronattus cambridgei. RNAcentral's name for it is "partial 16S ribosomal RNA". It matches the Rfam family "Bacterial large subunit ribosomal RNA", at positions 1831 to 2706 of the family's 2925-position model. The record is from RNAcentral. Lineage: Eukaryota; Metazoa; Arthropoda; Arachnida; Araneae; Salticidae.
UUCUAUUAGAAAUUAUUAAUAGUAAAAUCUGCUCCAUGUCUAAUAAAUAGCCGCAAUUUGUGCUAAGGUAGCAUAAUCAUUUGUCUUUUAAAUGGAGACUAGAACAAAAGAUUUAACAUUUUCAGUUUAUUUUCCUAACUUAUCCAAUCAAAUUUAUCCUAAAUGUAAAAAGACACUUAUUUAAAAGAAAGACGAUAAGACCCUAUUGAACUUAACUGUAGUUAAACUGGGGCAGUAAAUUAAUUAUUAUUUUAAUAUAAAUUAUUAUAUAAAUAUCUAAUAAUAUUAAAUAAUUAAGUUACCAUAGGGAUAACAGCGUAAUAAUUUUCUAAAGAUCUUAUUUAAAAUAAAGAUUACGACCUCGAUGUUGAAUUAAUAACCUAAUUAAGGCAAAACUUAAAAAAGGAAGUCUGUUCGACUUUUAAAAAAUUACAUGAUUUGAGUUCAGACCGGUGUAAGCCAGGUCGGCUUCUAUCUUCUAAAAAAUUUUUUACAGUACGAAAGGACCUAAAAAUCUAAUA